RNAcentral lists this ribosomal RNA (446 nucleotides) under uncultured bacterium. RNAcentral describes it as "partial 16S ribosomal RNA". It matches the Rfam family "Bacterial small subunit ribosomal RNA", at positions 338 to 795 of the family's 1533-position model. The record is from RNAcentral.
CCUACGGGUGGCAGCAGUCGAGAAUCAUUCACAAUGGGGGAAACCCUGAUGGUGCGACGCCGCGUGGGGGAAUGAAGGUCUUCGGAUUGUAAAUCCCUGUCAUGUGGGAGCAAAUUAAAAAGAUAGUACCACACGAGGAAGAGACGGCUAACUCUGUGCCAGCAGCCGCGGUAAUACAGAGGUCUCAAGCGUUGUUCGGAAUCACUGGGCGUAAAGCGUGCGUAGGCAGUUUCGUAAGUCGUGUGUGAAAGGCGCGGGCUCAACCCGCGGACGGCACAUGAUACUGCGAGACUAGAGUAAUGGAGGGGGAACCGGAAUUCUCGGUGUAGCAGUGAAAUGCGUAGAUAUCGAGAGGAACACUCGUGGCGAAGGCGGGUUCCUGGACAUUAACUGACGCUGAGGCACGAAGGCCAGGGGAGCGAAAGGGAUUAGAUACCCUUGUAGUC